RNAcentral lists this transfer RNA (83 nucleotides) under Annulohypoxylon maeteangense. RNAcentral describes it as "tRNA-Glu". It matches the Rfam family "tRNA". Rfam says of the family: Transfer RNA (tRNA) molecules are approximately 80 nucleotides in length. Their secondary structure includes four short double-helical elements and three loops (D, anti-codon, and T loops). Further hydrogen bonds mediate the characteristic L-shaped molecular structure. tRNAs have two regions of fundamental functional importance: the anti-codon, which is responsible for specific mRNA codon recognition, and the 3' end, to which the tRNAs corresponding amino acid is attached (by aminoacyl-tRNA synthetases). tRNAs cope with the degeneracy of the genetic code in two manners: having more than one tRNA (with a specific anti-codon) for a particular amino acid; and 'wobble' base-pairing, i.e. permitting non-standard base-pairing at the 3rd anti-codon position. The record is from RNAcentral. Lineage: Eukaryota; Fungi; Ascomycota; Sordariomycetes; Xylariales; Hypoxylaceae.
UCCGAAUUGGUGUAGUGGCUAACAUUUGACGCUCUCAUAGCAUAUGAUCCGUCAAGCCCGGGGUUCGAUUCCCCGAUUCGGAG